RNAcentral lists this transfer RNA (77 nucleotides) under Synergistaceae bacterium. RNAcentral's name for it is "tRNA-Met". It matches the Rfam family "tRNA". Rfam says of the family: Transfer RNA (tRNA) molecules are approximately 80 nucleotides in length. Lineage: Bacteria; Thermotogati; Synergistota; Synergistia; Synergistales; Synergistaceae. The record is from RNAcentral.
GGCGCUGUAGCUCAGAUGGCUAGAGCAUCCGGUUCAUACCCGGACGGUCACCGGUUCGAUUCCAGUCAGCGCCACCA